This 762-nucleotide ribosomal RNA is filed under the name uncultured bacterium. RNAcentral's name for it is "bacterial SSU rRNA". It matches the Rfam family "Bacterial small subunit ribosomal RNA", at positions 28 to 776 of the family's 1533-position model. The record is from RNAcentral.
GAUGAACGCUAGCUACAGUGCUUAACACAUGCAAGUCGAGGGGCAGCAUGAAAGGAACUUCGGUUCUUUUUGAUGGCGACCGGCGCACGGGUGCGUAACGCGUAUCGAACCUGCCUCAUACUCGGGGAUAGCCUUGCGAAAGUAAGAUUAAUACCCGGCGGUCUCGGAUGGCCGCAUGACUAUCCGAGUGAAGAUUUAUCGGUAUGAGAUGGCGAUGCGUCUCAUUAGCUAGUUGGUGAGGUAAUGGCUCACCAAGGCAUCGAUGGGUAGGGGUUCUGAGAGGAAGGUCCCCCACAUUGGAACUGAGACACGGUCCAAACUCCUACGGGAGGCAGCAGUGAGGAAUAUUGGUCAAUGGACGAAAGUCUGAACCAGCCAAGUAGCGUGCAGGAUGACGGCCCUCUGGGUUGUAAACUGCUUUUAGUUGGGAAUAAAAAGAGGGACGUGUCCCUUAUUGUAUGUACCAUCAGAAAAAGGACCGGCUAAUUCCGUGCCAGCAGCCGCGGUAAUACGGAAGGUCCAGGCGUUAUCCGGAUUUAUUGGGUUUAAAGGGAGCGCAGGCGGCGGCGUAAGUCAGUUGUGAAAUCGUGCGGCUUAACCGUGCAAUCGCAGUUGAUACUGCGUCGCUUGAGUGCACACAGGGAUGUUGGAAUUCAUGGUGUAGCGGUGAAAUGCUUAGAUAUCAUGAAGAACUCCGAUCGCGAAGGCAUAUGUCCGGAGUGCAACUGACGCUGAGGCUCGAAAGUGUGGGUAUCANACAGG